AGGAGUUACAAGGGAAAGAUGCAAAUUCGCCUUUCAACUGUGUGGAGGGCUGCAUAUACAUAAAUAUAACACACUUGCUCUUACAGCAAUUCUUACUAAGAGAAGGGAUCCACUCUUCUAGGUGCUGUGCGAAGGCAGAGCUGAAUGACUGUCAACUCUCAGUAAAAUGAGACUGUACGGACUGAGCAGAAAAAAAUGUGUCUUCAGUUGGAGUACUGCUGUUGAAAAGAUGACAUCUUCCUGAAAAAAUCUGAGGGAACCUCAGUGCUAGAAAAUCUCAUCUCAUAGAGAAGGGACUUUGAAAUGGUCUAGAAAGAAGAUUCCAUCUCAGAAGGAAAGAGGUAAAGGUGAACGAUGCAUGAGUGAACAUGUGGACUGGGAAUCAGAUUUGUCAUUAAAACAUUCAUAUUAUGGACCUGCCUUGCUGCAGGACUGGUAGAACAAGUCCAUCUUGCCUCCUAUGGGAAGACUGACUCUAUUGACUCUAAAUACCAAGCAAAAAAAGAAGUGCUGCCAGCAUCACAGACAUUACAGCAUCACAGCUCUUCCUUACCAUUUGGAGGACUGCAGACAUCUACAGAGAACAAGAGAUUUUUAGCAGGUGGUUAUCCACCUUGAAGUAGAUGAAGGUCAAAAUGCUAAGGUUAAAAUGAACACUGUCCAGUUGAUCCUCAUAUGAAGAUGCAGAUAUUAAAUCAGAAAGUAUUAGCACAGGCAAAAUCAUGCCAGUCUAUCUGCAAUUUAAAGCAGAAGUUUUCUAGUGCAUCCCUAAACUUGUUCAUUGACCAGAUAAUCAAAUAUAUAUGUUCUUGAUUCCAAUACCAACUUGUCAUCCUAAAACAAGAUUUGCAUUUACAGGAAAACCUUUUUGCAAGAUAUGAAUAUUAUAUGCCUGACUGGAGCAGAUGAACCCAAGGCAAAAACUGAAGUCUCUACAAAACUUAUACUUCUACACUACACAUGCAGAAACGUUCCAGAAUUCAUUGGUGCAGGAAGCAAAACAUUUUCAUUCUUAUCAGAACUUUUCAAAAUAUCUUUAUGUCCUUUCUGGAUGUUUAGAUUAACUGUUUUAAAUGUUGUUCUUGUUUUCAUUGAAGUUCUUCUUCACGCCUUAGGUCUUAUUAAAAAAAAAAAAAAAUUUAUACUGAUAAGCCACUAGCAAUUACAGUUGUUUAAAAUGGCAUUAGGCAAUUCUGGAAAAUAACAGAUGACAUAUGAACUUUUUAAUGGACUAGCUCUGUAAUUAAUGUGAGUCCAGAUGUGACCUGUAAUUUCCUAAGAAGUUGCUGCGGUCCCUGGAAGAAUUCAAUAAUAGUGAAUUUCCUACCUGCAAAACCACCUCUUCUAGUGUAGAUGGAAACCAACAGAGAAAAGAAUCAGGAAAUGCAAGUAUCUUAGGUUCUAUUAUUUUAUUUUAUUUUUUUAUCUUAGGGAAGAAUGAUUGCUGUUUUCUUUUUAGAUACAUGUGUUUAUUAUACAAAGCCCCUUGAAAGUAUUUUUCUCUAUUUCCUUUGAACUCUUCUUGCAAGGACGUAUGUCUGGUUGUAUGAUGAAUAUCCAGUCUGCUCAUUGUCAAUCAUUUGCUGUGUACCCUGUUUGCCAUCUUCCUUCUUAUUAAGUCCUCUUGAUUAAAAGGUCUUCUUGUGCCUCACUUUUGCUCAUAUGAAAGUCUAAAUGUCUGUAAUUAAUGUUUCUCUAAGCUGCUGACUAAGCCCCUUCCAAUCAGGAAAAAUUCAGAUAUAUUUGAGUUUAGGAGGUGGCUUAGGGGAAUAGUCUGCUGCUGCUGAAGUAUCCAGCUUUCUAAUAAUUCCUCAGCCCAUAUAGCUGGAGUUUCAUUCAUAGGUGAGUUGACGGAGAAAAGUCUUCAGAAACAUCUCCUGAAUCUUCAGUCAUGCUAAAAUAUCACAAAGCCACUGCAUUCAAAAAGGCCUGAGGCAUCUAGAACAGGAAUUGAAUGUCAAUGUCAAAUUCCAACAUGGUGAUUAAGCAAGCAAACUGGCUGGCUGCCAUGUAGCUUUUCUAGCUGUAUGACUCCUUAUUUGAUGGGAAAUUCCAGUAGUUACCUGACUUGUUUCACUGAAGGCCAAUGCAUUCCUGACACUCUGAUGAGUGUGCUCUGAGCAUACCUGAUAUGUGCCAGGAGCUGAUCCCUAACCACCACCACAAUGGAAGGUUUUGGGCUGCUUGCUUUUUUUUUUUUUAAAGCUUCCAGCCACCAUAGCAGCACCACUCAAUUUAAUAUAUGAAGCAGUUCACCCAGGGAAAGGUCUAGAGCUGACAUCUUCCUUCUCAGCCUUGGCCCUGCCCAAGUCCACAGCACCCACCUUUUCAGAGAGCGUUUGCUUCCGAGGCUAGUAUCAGAGUGUGGGAAAGGAGAGGGAACCUGCCCUGUCUUUCUGGUGGAGUUGUGUCAUCAUUGUGCAGGAAGGAAUAACAGAUUUGGGAGGUCAGGAGGAGAGAGUGCAAGGGGAAGCUUGGUUGUGUACUAGAAGUUAGGAAAUUCUUUUCAGAGAAGGAAGUCUGGGCUCUGUUCUCACACCCACAUCUGCUUAGUCAUCUCGUAUGGAAAGUUCACAAUGAGAGAGAAAUCUAGGACCCAUCUCCUAGGUGAGGACCCUAAGUACCGUACUAGAGCUGUGUGCUCUCCUUGGGUCUGUCUUCUCCUGGUGCAGUGUACAGUGGCAAACAGUGGUGCUGUUGCAGGAGGAAGAGAGGAAUAGCUCCACUCUACAGACUGGUGCUGUUUGUUACUCGUUAAAGCUAAGGUUUUCCUACUUCUUGGAGGAGUGUACCAGCUAGUAGACAAUUUAAAAAAAAAAAAAAGCAAAGAAAUAAAGAAGUGGGGAGAUUCUUUUCUGCAUACAUUUUUAAGUGCUACCUGCACUUUAAAAGAGGAAAAAAAUAGCUGUUGUUGUCUUAAAAGGCAGAUUCUGACCUUUUGAUUGGACUUAUGAGAGCAGUCAGGCUCUGGAAAGAGCUGGCAGUUCAGGCUGCAUGUUCUGUUCUCAGUAUUUAUUAGUUUUACUUUCUCAGCAUGCCAUAUUUUUCAGAUCAGUCUAGAGUGUAUAUCGUACUUAGAAAACAUAGUAAAACCGUUCCCAUUUUUGUGUCCCAUGCCUGUCUUUUCCUAUUGACCGCUAUAGCCGUUGGUUAUGCUAGGCUCCUGGAUGCAAACCGGCGGUUCAGAGCCUACGUACCUUACGGUGGGUUCAACACUUCACCUGGGCCAGGGACCUGGCCUUGUGGCCAAAAUCUUUCAAGUCCUUAUUGAAUUUAGCCUCAAGUAUUUUUUCCAGAGGCACAAGUGAGUCUGAGGAGGAGGAGGGGUCUGAAGCCCUACUUUUCACUGUGGGCUGUACAGCUGAUGAAUUUAAUGGCACUAUCUUUUCUGAAAUAAUUUCCACUGUGUUCUUCAAGUGAGGUAUUAUAUUGCAUGGCUCUAUUCAUCAAUGAAAACGGAAUGAUUUUUAUGAAACAAAAUGCUUUGUGCUGGCUGUAAUUACACAUAGAACCUAGAAAUAAGACUAAAAUAUGUCCAUUAUUUACCACCAUUGUCAUUUAAAAAAUGUCAUUAUGAAGUUGACUAAA
This is a long non-coding RNA of Grus americana (Whooping crane), 3588 nucleotides long. RefSeq lists it as uncharacterized. The transcript is spliced from 3 exons. The record is from RefSeq and is a predicted model, not a curated record. NCBI's taxonomy places the organism in Eukaryota, Metazoa, Chordata, Aves, Gruiformes, Gruidae.